Molecule: long non-coding RNA, 1162 nt
Organism: Diabrotica virgifera virgifera (western corn rootworm)
Lineage: Eukaryota; Metazoa; Arthropoda; Insecta; Coleoptera; Chrysomelidae
Exons: 2
Source: RefSeq, a predicted model, not a curated record
UAAAAAGAAUAAUUAAAAAAAAUUGAUCAAUAAACUUCAAAUUAUUUAAAUAACUUUUUAAACUUUUUAAAAACAAUUACGUACAGUUAAGUCAAUUUUUUCAACUAACAAACUUUUUGAUAUCAGUUACAAAGAUAUUAAAAAAUUAAUUUGCAGUUGAAAUACCAUUGGUAUAUAAAUGUGGCAGUUAGAUAAUGUGACAAAAUAUUUCCGCUUCAAAAUAAGCUGUCCUACAUAUUAAAGUAAUGACAAAUUUAAAUUUGAUGUCACAUCUCCAUCUACAAUGGUAUAUAAAGAAUACACUUUUUACCACACGUCGAUAUGUUAUAAGGUUAAAAUAAUUUAUUUUUGGCAUAAAACAUAUUCAGCUACAAUCUACCAAUAAAUUAAUGUCUAAUUACGCUAAAAACAAAAAUAAAACGAGUUAAAUAUUAAAUAAGUCCAUAAGAGCUAAUGUAUUUGUAGCACCUAUCCGAACACUUGCGGCGAUUGCUGAAAGUUGAAUUAGAGGUUGAAAAGUUAGCCCACAAACGGUGCAUUGCGUUUCCACUCCUUCUUACAGGUCUCCAUAAUAGACACGGUUAAACACAGUAUAGGUAAUAGGUAUUUAGUCCAUUCCGAAGUUGUAGUUUGUUUUGACAUUUCCGUUUUAUUUAACCUAACCUAUGUUUUGUGUUUUAUUGUGUUGUAUACAAGGAGUUGUAUAUUGAAAUUGAAUUGAUUCUUGUUUCAUUGAAUAUAGAGGAGUUGUUCUGUUGCAAGUUGUUCUAGUUUUGUUGUUUUAAAAUCUGCGAAAAACUAUUUAUAGAUAAUGGUGAACUUAAACAAGAAAUGGACAUGCAGUUUGCUGAUUACUUAAUUGUGUACUCACAACACAUAGGAUUUCUCUGACACAGUUUCCAGUACAGAACUGCCACUGGAAUCUCCAGUGGAGUUACAACCGCUCUCACGGACGUCCACAAAUCAAGUUACAAAACUGUUACAUGACUCUAUUGGAGUUGCAACCGCAAUUGGAUAAAAGUGAAAUUCGAAUAAUGCCAGAAAGACUAUAACCGUCCAAAGUGAUAGUGUGAAAUUAAAAUCAAAUGAUUACGUAUAAAUCAUAUUUAUAAUAAUUAUAAAUAGUAGCUGUAUUUUUUAAAUAAACAGAUUUGAUAAGUUA